GAGAGUUUGAUUCUGGCUCAGGACGAACGCUGGCGGCGUGCUUAACACAUGCAAGUCGAGCGAUGAAGCUCCUUCGGGAGUGGAUUAGCGGCGGACGGGUGAGUAACACGUGGGCAACCUGCCUUGUAGAGAGGAAUAGCCAUUCGAAAGGAUGAUUAAUACCUCAUAAUAUUGUAGCUUCGCAUGAAGCAACAAUCAAAGGAGCAGUCCACUACAAGAUGGGCCCGCGGCGCAUUAGCUAGUUGGUGAGGUAACGGCUCACCAAGGCGACGAUGCGUAGCCGACCUGAGAGGGUGAUCGGCCACAUUGGGACUGAGACACGGCCCAGACUCCUACGGGAGGCAGCAGUGGGGAAUAUUGCACAAUGGGGGAAACCCUGAUGCAGCAACGCCGCGUGAGUCAUGACGGUCUUCGGAUUGUAAAGCUCUGUCUUCAGGGACGAUAAUGACGGUACCUGAGGAGGAAGCCACGGCUAACUAC
RNAcentral lists this ribosomal RNA (480 nucleotides) under uncultured manure pit bacterium P312. RNAcentral's name for it is "bacterial SSU rRNA". It matches the Rfam family "Bacterial small subunit ribosomal RNA", at positions 7 to 504 of the family's 1533-position model. The record is from RNAcentral.